AAUCAUGGCUCAGGAUGAACGCUGGCGGCGUGCCUAACACAUGCAAGUCGAACGGAGUUUACAUGAAACCUAGUGAUUGUAAACUUAGUGGCGGACGGGUGAGUAACGCGUGGGUAACCUGCCCUGUACUGGGGGAUAACACUUAGAAAUAGGUGCUAAUACCGCAUAAGCGCACAGUGCCGCAUGGCACAGUGUGAAAAACUCCGGUGGUACAGGAUGGACCCGCGUCUGAUUAGAUAGUUGGUG
RNAcentral lists this ribosomal RNA (246 nucleotides) under uncultured bacterium. Its description in RNAcentral is "partial 16S ribosomal RNA". It matches the Rfam family "Bacterial small subunit ribosomal RNA", at positions 15 to 254 of the family's 1533-position model. The record is from RNAcentral.